CCUACGGGAGGCAGCAGUAAGGAAUAUCGGUCAAUGGGCGCAAGCCUGAACCAGCCAUGCCGCGUGAAGGAUGACGGCCCUAUGGGUUGUAAACUUCUUUUGUACGGGAAUAAACCCAGGUACGUGUACCUGGCUGAAUGUACCGUAAGAAUAAGGAUCGGCUAACUCCGUGCCAGCAGCCGCGGUAAUACGGAGGAUCCAAGCGUUAUCCGGAUUCAUUGGGUUUAAAGGGUGCGUAGGCGGACUUAUAAGUCAGUGGUGAAAUCCUGCAGCUUAACUGCAGAACUGCCAUUGAUACUGUAAGUCUUGAGUGUGUUUGAAGUGGGCGGAAUGUGUCAUGUAGCGGUGAAAUGCUUAGAUAUGACACAGAACACCGAUUGCGUAGGCAGCUCACUAAACCACAACUGACGCUGAGGCACGACAGCGUGGGGAUCAAACAGGAUUAGAUACCCUGGUAGUCCACGCCGUAAACUAUGAUUACUCGAUGUUGGCGAUAUACAGUCAGCGUCUAAGCUAAAGCGUUAAGUAAUCCACCUGGGAGUACGGUCGCGAAGAUUGAAAUCAAAUGAAUUGACGG
RNAcentral lists this ribosomal RNA (577 nucleotides) under uncultured bacterium. Its description in RNAcentral is "bacterial SSU rRNA". It matches the Rfam family "Bacterial small subunit ribosomal RNA", at positions 338 to 916 of the family's 1533-position model. The record is from RNAcentral.